AAAGAAGAAAAGCUCAAUCGACAGAUUGACUUCACGAAGUGCUACUUAAUCACUGAAGAAACACGUUGAAGAACCUGGUCCUCAGUACAGAAUCUAGCUAAGAAUUUUAGCGUUGAUUUUUAGAAUUGUUCAUUGUGUUUGAGCUAUUCAUGUAAUAUUAGUUUCAGUGUGUUAUAAACUGAAUUAGGAGCUAGUUUUCGAGUUGGGUACAGAAUCUAGCUAAGAAUUUUAGCGUUGAUUUUUAGAGUUGUUCAUUGUGUUUGAGCUAUUCAUGUAAUAUUAGUUUCAGUGUGUUAUAAACUGAAUUAGGAGCUAGUUUUCGAGUUGGGGAAAAUUCAGAGACUUUGGGAACACAUACCUUGGAGGGUGUGUGUAGUUAGAAAUUAGAGUUUAUAAUUCCUAGUUAUUGAGUUAUAGGGAUUAGAGUUUAUAAUUCCAGUUGUUGAGUUAUAGGAAUUAGAGUUUAUAAUUCCUAUUUGUUGGUUACAAGAGUUUUGUAAUCGGUCGUUGUUGAGGCUCAGAGUUUUUUAGUGAAGUUGGAGUUAAAUCCUGUAGAGGUGCAGGUCGUAGUUUUUUACACCUUUUGAGCCAGGUGUUUUCCACGUAAAAAUCAUUGUGUUCUUUAUUUUCUCUUUACUGCUUCCUUGAAACACGUCAGGUAACACGUUCCAUCGAUAAGCAAAAAUUAGGCGAAAAUAAGAAAAUCUGUAGGG
Molecule: long non-coding RNA, 713 nt
Filed under: Capsicum annuum
Lineage: Eukaryota; Viridiplantae; Streptophyta; Magnoliopsida; Solanales; Solanaceae
Description: long non-coding RNA (CANN_LNC000104)
Source: RNAcentral